This is a long non-coding RNA of Symphalangus syndactylus (siamang), 543 nucleotides long. RefSeq lists it as uncharacterized. Lineage: Eukaryota; Metazoa; Chordata; Mammalia; Primates; Hylobatidae. The record is from RefSeq and is a predicted model, not a curated record.
CAAGCAUGGCUGAGCACAAAGACGGAGCUGCUGGCAUUGGAACAUGGGGAUGAGGUCUCACUAUGAUGCCCAGCUGGUCUCAAACUCCUGGCCUCAAGGAAUCCUCCUGCCUUGGCCUCCUCUCCUGCCUUGAAAUUACUCUGGGAUUCCAAGACCAUGACUAAGCCACCCACCCUCUGUGUCAUGAGCAGACUGCUACGCUACAUGUCCAAUUCAUCACAUGGUGCAUCUAACACUCUGUGCCUGAAGCCCUACAAGGAGAUCCAGCUCACAGUAUGAACGUUGUGUUUGGGACAUCUUCAAUUUUUAACUUCCAGCAGAAAGCAAUUCCUGCUAAAUAAAGCAACCCUGCGGGAUGUUGAAAGUGAUAGAGUGAAGGAUUCCUUUACCCACAAAGUCACUCUGAAUAUUCAUCUAGCAUGUGGAGCAGGAAAUCUGUUAUUCUCUCAGGCAUUCUUUACUUGGGGCAGCAGGGAAGAAACAUCUAUGUAAUAAAAAGAAAAGAAACUGUAAGUCCAAUCAGUCUAAAAUGUCUUGUGCUGG